GUCUUUAUGUUAAAUUUAUAAAGUCUGGCCUGCCCACUGAUUUUUCUUUAAAGGGCCGCGGUAUUUUGACCGUGCAAAGGUAGCAUAAUCAUUAGUCUUUUAAUUGAAGGCUUGUAUGAAUGGUUUGACAAGAAAUAAACUGUCUUCAAUUAAAUUUAUUGAAAUUAACUUUUAAGUAAAAAGGCUUAAAUAGAUUAAAGUGACGAUAAGACCCUAUAAAACUUUAUAAUUAAAAUUGAAAAAAUAUAUUAGUUAAUUAAAGUUUUUUUAAUUUAUAUUAUUUUAUUGGGGCGAUAAAAAUAUAAAAAGUAACUGUUUUUAAUGUUUAAAUGAUAAUUAUCAGUUAAUUAAAUGAUCCUUUAUUAAAGAUUAUAAGAUUAAGUUACUUUAGGGAUAACAGCGUAAUUUUCUUUGAGAGUUCUUAUCUACAAGAAAGAUUGCGACCUCGAUGUUGAAUUAAAAGUUCUCUAAGGUGUAGCAGCUUUAGCAGAAGGUCUGUUCGACCUUUAAAUUUUU
RNAcentral lists this ribosomal RNA (516 nucleotides) under Thysanopoda cornuta. RNAcentral describes it as "partial 16S ribosomal RNA". It matches the Rfam family "Bacterial large subunit ribosomal RNA", at positions 1830 to 2597 of the family's 2925-position model. Lineage: Eukaryota; Metazoa; Arthropoda; Malacostraca; Euphausiacea; Euphausiidae. The record is from RNAcentral.